Molecule: ribosomal RNA, 377 nt
Filed under: uncultured bacterium
Lineage: Bacteria
Description: bacterial SSU rRNA
Rfam family: Bacterial small subunit ribosomal RNA
Source: RNAcentral
UACGUAGGAUCCAAGCGUUAUCCGGAAUUACUGGGCGUAAAGCGUGCGCAGACGGUUUGAUAGGUCAGUUGCGAAAUCCCGUGGCUCAACCAUGUGGACGGUAAUUGAAACCAUCUGACUAGAGGUCGGUAGAGGCAAGUGGAAUUUCUGGUGUAGGGGUGACAUCCGUAGAUAUCAGAAGGAACACCAAUGGCGAAGGCAGCUUGCUGGGCCGUACCUGACGUUCAGGCACGAAAGCGUGGGGAGCAAACAGAAUUAGAUACUCUGGUAGUCCACGCCGUAAACGAUGAUCACUAGUGGUAUGGGGCUUCGACCCCCUGUGUCACGUAGCUAACGCGUUAAGUGAUCCGCCUGGGGAGUACGAACGCAAGUUUAAA